Molecule: ribosomal RNA, 774 nt
Filed under: uncultured Neocallimastigales
Lineage: Eukaryota; Fungi; Neocallimastigomycota; Neocallimastigomycetes; Neocallimastigales
Description: partial large subunit ribosomal RNA
Rfam family: Eukaryotic large subunit ribosomal RNA
Source: RNAcentral
GUACACGCUGUGACUAGCAUAUCAAUAAGCGGAGGAAAAGAAACUAACAAGGAUUCCCCUAGUAACGGCGAGUGAAGCGGGAAGAGCUCAAAUUUGAAAUCUUAAAGGGUUUCCCUUUACGAAUUGUAGUUUAAAGAAGUGUUUUCUGUUGAGGUUUUGGUAAAAGUUCUUUGGAAUAGGACAUCAUAGAGGGUGAGAAUCCCGUAUUUGACCUUUACUUUCAACUUUGUGAUACACUUUCAAAGAGUCGGAUUGUUUGGGAAUGCAGUCCAAAAUGGGUGGUAAAUUUCAUCUAAAGCUAAAUAUUGGCGAGAGACCGAUAGCGAACAAGUACCGUGAGGGAAAGAUGAAAAGAACUUUGAAAAGAGAGUUAAACAGUACGUGAAAUUGUCAAAAGGGAAGCGUUUGACACCAGUGUUGUUUUUCUGAAAAUCAAUUAAAGAACUGUUUAUGCUAAGCUGUUUAGACUUUAUCAGCUAUCUGUUUAGUUUUGAGCUUUUCUUUAAUGCACUUUUCAGUUAACAAGUCAACAUCAAUUUCUUUUGCUGUAGAAAAGCUUGAGGAAGGUGGCUUGAGAUUCGUCUUAAGUGUUUAUAGCCUCUUGCCUAUGCAGUCGGAGAGAUUGAGGUCUGCAGCGUAGAUCCUUCGGGGCUAAAUGCAUUUGUGCUAAGUUAUAGCAUUUUAUAGACAACUUGUUGACUAUGAUUUGUCUUGUAGCUUACUCGCUUAUGUUAUUUUACCUACGCUUAGGAUGUUGACGCGCGUGUGUGCGUG